RNAcentral lists this non-coding RNA (30 nucleotides) under Mus musculus (house mouse). Lineage: Eukaryota; Metazoa; Chordata; Mammalia; Rodentia; Muridae. The record is from RNAcentral.
UGGUUUUGGAAACUCUGCCUGGAUAAAUUA